AUAUUUACUUAUAUUUUCGUAUGAUUUAAUGUAUAUAUGGUAAUAAUGUGUAGUAUGAUAAUAUGAUUUAAUGUAAUAAGGUAAUAAUAGCAGUCAUGCCACGUGGCUUCUUUUCGAAGAGGGUUUCUAAGACGAUGUGGACGUUCCCUCGAGCCUCGAUUAGUCCAUUUUAUUAGUAUAGAUUUUUAGAGUGGCUGAUUACAAAUUUAGUUUUAAUGAAUUAUAAAUUAUAUAUAACUAUCAUUAUUAACAUUUUUUGCUUAUUAUAUUAAUUUU
RNAcentral lists this long non-coding RNA (276 nucleotides) under Brassica rapa (field mustard). RNAcentral describes it as "long non-coding RNA (BRAP_LNC002697)". Lineage: Eukaryota; Viridiplantae; Streptophyta; Magnoliopsida; Brassicales; Brassicaceae. The record is from RNAcentral.